RNAcentral lists this ribosomal RNA (681 nucleotides) under Limosilactobacillus reuteri. RNAcentral's name for it is "bacterial SSU rRNA". It matches the Rfam family "Bacterial small subunit ribosomal RNA", at positions 124 to 787 of the family's 1533-position model. Lineage: Bacteria; Bacillati; Bacillota; Bacilli; Lactobacillales; Lactobacillaceae. The record is from RNAcentral.
ACCUGCUCCCGGAUCAGGUGAUAAAAUUUAUAAACAUAUCCUAAUACCCCAAAACACCCAAGGCCUCUUGGCUUUUUGUUUGAAAAAUGCUCUUUCGCUUAUCAAUCUACCCAUGGACCUGCUGUGCAUUAGCUAGUUGGCAGCGUAACGGCGUACCGAAGCGAUGAUGCAUAUGCCAAGUUGAUAGACCGCUCUGCCACAAUGGAACUGACACACCGCCCAUACUCCUACGGGAGGCGGCAUUAUCGAAUCUUCCACCAUGUCCGCUAGCCUGAUGCAGCAACACCGCGUAAGUGAAUAAGGGUUUCAGCUCCUAAUGCUCUAUUAUUGUAGACGACCGUGCGUCAGAUUACCUGUUCACGCAGUGACAGUAUCCAACCACAAAGUCACGGCUAACUACAUGCCAGCAGCCACGUUAGUACCUAGGUUGCACGCGUUAUCCGGAUUUAUUGGGCAUAAAACGAGCGCAUGCAGUUGCUUAGGUCUGAUGUGAAAGCCUUCGGCUUAACUGAACAAGUGCAUCGGAAACCUGACUACUUGAGUGCAGAAUAGGACUCUGUAACUCCCUGUGUAACGCUGGAAUGCAUAGAUAGAUGGAACAACACCAGUGGCGAAGCGGCUGUCUUGUCAAAAAUAAGGCUGAGGCUCGAACAGAUGGGUAGCGAAGAGGAUCAGAUACCC